This is a long non-coding RNA of Mytilus californianus (California mussel), 1027 nucleotides long. RefSeq lists it as uncharacterized. The transcript has 2 exons. NCBI's taxonomy places the organism in Eukaryota, Metazoa, Mollusca, Bivalvia, Mytilida, Mytilidae. The record is from RefSeq and is a predicted model, not a curated record.
UGAUCAUUAACUAUGUCAUAUAUGCUUCAUUUUAAAAAUAGAAGCAAUAUGUACACCAUGAAAAUAAAUCUCAUAUUGACAGUAGCAUUACUAGUUUUUAUUGCAGUGCAUGCUAAUAGGAUACAGAUUCAGCAAAGUGUGAUCAAACUUCAUCCUAGUAACGAAGAUUUUGAUAUCAAAGGUUGCACUAUAAGUAGCGAGAAGCUUCUAUUCACUGACAAAAGAAACAAAAGGAUAAUAAUACACAAUGGAGCCGGUACUCAUAUCGAGGACAUUUCACUUUCUAGUGAACCAUUCGAUAUCGUUGCUUUAGAUGUUGACAGUGUUGCUGUUUCGUUUGGUAGAAAUAGAUAUAUUGAAAAAAUCAAUAUCAAUACAAAAGCAGUCACCAAAAUACACUUGGGCGGAAAUUGCUGGGGACUUUCAUAUGACGGUGAAUAUUUGUACGCGGUCAUCGACGGUUAUGGUAUUUAUGUUGCGGUAGUUACGCUAGCAGGAGAACUUAUUAAAAGAAUUCCCGUAAGUAGCGAAUUUGACCAAACUGAAUAUAUUACAACGCACGAAACGAAUGUCUACUUCUCAGUAUUUAUUCCCAAGAACAUUGUAAGCAUGAACUUGAAUGGUAGUGUUCAAUGGCAGUUUCAGAAAAACAUUUUCAAUCAGCCAAGGGGAGUAACCUCUGAUAUCCAUGGAAAUAUUUUUGUCACUGGAUUUUCGUCACACAAUGUGGUUGUUGUUGAGAACAAUGGUCGUGAGUGUAGUGAAUUACUAAAUAAGGGAAGUGGAAUACACUAUCCGACAUCAAUUUACUUUGAUAGGACAAAAGAAAGGUUGCUAGUUAGUAAUUUAAACGACGGAUUUGCCUAUCUUUAUAACAUCGUGUAUAAUUGACGUUUUGGUUUAGUGCUGAAGGAAAUUUUAUAUUAUACAAAUGUUAUCAUCAUGUCGUAUCCAAAGAUAAUUUUUAAAGAAAGCAAUACACGAAAUAACAAAAUUAUAUGGCAAGUAAUGUAAUGCAUUAGUUCAA